GACGUAGGGCGCGAGCGUUGUCCGGAUUUAUUGGGCGUAAAGAGCUCGUAGGCGGCUUGUUGCGUCGGCUGUGAAAACCCGCAGCUCAACUGUGGGCUUGCAGCUGAUACGGGCAGGCUUGAGUUCGGUAGGGGAGACUGGAAUUCCUGGUGUAGCGGUGAAAUGCGCAGAUAUCAGGAGGAACACCGGUGGCGAAGGCGGCAUCCUGGACCGACACUGACGCUGAGGAGCGAAAGCCAGGGGAGCAAACGGG
RNAcentral lists this ribosomal RNA (253 nucleotides) under uncultured bacterium. Its description in RNAcentral is "partial 16S ribosomal RNA". It matches the Rfam family "Bacterial small subunit ribosomal RNA", at positions 524 to 776 of the family's 1533-position model. The record is from RNAcentral.